Molecule: non-coding RNA, 211 nt
Organism: Pelobates cultripes (western spadefoot toad)
Lineage: Eukaryota; Metazoa; Chordata; Amphibia; Anura; Pelobatidae
Source: the annotation of a GenBank genome assembly
AAGCAACUCAAAAACCAAGAAAGGAUCCUCCUCCCCCUGAUGAGCCUCUACGUUAGGCAAAAGGCACGUUGGGGCGCGAUGUUCUGUCACUACAAAGUCCUGUCUUUUGUGUUUCCUGGCACCUUUGCCUUGUGCACGGACAUUUACCACAGGCUUGAUUUAUAUAGCCACUCAGGUAUCUUCUGGAUUUAGAUGGCGGACAGCCGUCUGG